This 1038-nucleotide long non-coding RNA is filed under the name Canis lupus familiaris (dog). Its description in RNAcentral is "lncRNA (ENSCAFG00000057293.1)". The record is from RNAcentral. Lineage: Eukaryota; Metazoa; Chordata; Mammalia; Carnivora; Canidae.
CUACUUGGUAAUCUGUUCCUGGCUUUUUUUUUUUUUUUGGCUUCCUUCAUUCUCUUGGCCAGAAGUUUAGCCUAUUCUGUAGCCUCUUCCUUAUUUUCUUAGUAUGCUGUUUCCUCAAAGCAACAUAUUGUUGUUUGUUGUUGGAGGACAUGGGACAUGACAAGAUGCCGAGUCUUGGCUGCUUUGGUUCUAGGUUACUCACCUUUUUUAUUUAGGAGCUUUCUCACAACAUACUAGUAGGCAUCAUCUUCUUUAGAGAGACUGAAGAGUUUGUGGAUUCUCCUAGCUCUUUUGGACUCCCCGUGAGAAGGCGUAGUAGUAUCAGUAAGCCCAGGAAGGUCCUUCUCCCCUUUUUCACAAUGACCAAGUUGAGAGCACUGAGACUGGCAUCCACAAGGCAACCCUGAACAGCUCUGCACUUUCUUUCUCCGGUCCUCCCUGGUCUGUAGCAGGAACACCCCUCACUCAGCAGCAGGUGGACACGACUGUGGGUCAGGACCUCCUGCUUCAUGGGGAAUCCUUGUCUGUCAUCAGCACCACUGAUUUGGACCACGUAACCCUUCUAUUCUUCACUCAGAGGAGCAUCAGCAGCGUCUGUGGCCAUACACUUCUCAUAAAAGAUACAACUCUAAUGUCUCCUUAUAAUAGCAGCGAUGAGGUGGGGCAUGGCCAUUCUGUGGACCAGGAAGAGCCAUCAUCACUACAUCUGCCACUAUCCACAUCCUUCACCUUGAAGGAUGCCUCAUCUUGAAAGAUUCACUGUAGCAUCUUUGGAUCCAGCAACAGAAUCUGUGACCUUCUUCACCCCAAGUGCCUCAAGUAAAUUUACUUCUGCUAGAAGCUUAGAUCCUGCCAUUCUUCUUAACUGUGCAGCUCACAUAUGCAAGCACAUGAGCAGAUGGCCCAUAUACCUACACAGGUUUCGGCCCAUCACCUCUUUCUUUCUCUUCUCUAAGUAUGGACUACCCAGUGCUUCAUCCAAGGUACUGGCUUUUCAUUUUCUACUUUUCCUUUUUAAAUCGUGUGUGUUUAUUCUUC